UACGUAGGGGGCAAGCGUUGUCCGGAAUCAUUGGGCGUAAAGAGCGUGUAGGCGGCCCGGUAAGUCCGCCGUGAAAGUCCAGGGCUCAACCCUGGAAUGCCGGUGGAAACUGCCGGGCUGGAGUCCGGAAGAGGCGAGUGGAAUUCCUGGUGUAGCGGUGAAAUGCGCAGAUAUCAGGAGGAACACCGAUGGCGAAGGCAGGUCUCUGGGCCAUAACUGACGCUGAGAAGCGAAAGCAUGGGGAGCGAACAGG
Molecule: ribosomal RNA, 253 nt
Filed under: uncultured bacterium
Lineage: Bacteria
Description: partial 16S ribosomal RNA
Rfam family: Bacterial small subunit ribosomal RNA
Source: RNAcentral